GAACGUUAAAUUUACCUACGAGACUAACAUCAACGAAAAAUUCAGCAAAAUGAAUAUUUACCUAUGAGACUACACAUUCACAAACAUAUAACCAAACACAAAGUUACCCACACAGAUCAUACCAGUGAUUUUCUGUGGGUAUGUUCAGAAAUCAGAAACUCUCCAAAAUUGCUUUCUUCGAGUUUGCAAAUUUGGAGAUGGGUUUAUCCAUAAACCAAACAUAUAUAAAUUAUCCAAAGCUUCUUCAGCUACGGGUCAAGUUAGGGCAUACAAAAAGGGGUUGCAGAGUAGAGAGCCAGCACAUCUAGGUUACGGGGAUGAAUAAUGAAAUUUCAUGAUCAACCCGCAAACACAAGGUAGCAAUUCAUCCAAUACUGACAACGUUUAAUGGGAAUUAGCAAAAAACCAUUUCAGCAAGAUUUUUCAUUCGAGAGAGGUAUGAUAGACAAUAUAUAUAUUUACUACUUAUCUAAUUUGCUAACGUAUUAUCCAAACCUUGUGUCCUUGUUCAAUGAUUUUUCUUUUUCUUGAAAAAAGCUUUUUGAAUAAUGUUUUAGGAGAGCGAAUGUAACGAAAUUUUUUUGGAUUUAUUUGUAAAAUAAUUUUUUGAAAAUAAUUAAUAUCAAAAGGAGGCCAUAAUGUUUUGUGGUUCGCAAAUUGAUA
Molecule: long non-coding RNA, 663 nt
Filed under: Olea europaea (common olive)
Lineage: Eukaryota; Viridiplantae; Streptophyta; Magnoliopsida; Lamiales; Oleaceae
Description: long non-coding RNA (OEUR_LNC009958)
Source: RNAcentral